AUGGUACACUCUGUCGGCCUCGUGGUCGUCCUCCUCGCCGCGUACCUCGUCGUGGCGCUCGCCGCGCAGGCUCCGGCUCCGGUGGCCUCCCAGAAGCCCGGUUCAGCGGCAGCACCCUCCAAGGCCUCCGCAAAGGCUCCUGCUUCGGUCCCCGAAAAGACCGCGAAAGCGCCCACGGCGGUGAACGCCACGUCCGCGGCUACUCCGAAGGCUGCACAGGCCAAGGCUCCGGCCGCCAAGACAGCGACGCCCGACCAUGCGCCCGCGAAGGGGUCCGCGUCGAGCCCGUCCGAAGCCGAAGCCGCGGAGUCUCCCGACGACGCCGAGGAUGAUUCAUUCGCCGAGACGCCGUCCUCCUCAUUGUCGGACGAUGACUCCGACACAGACGACGACAGCCCGCCAGGGCCUGCCGGCUCGCCAGACUCAGACUCGCCAGCUGACUCGCCUGACCCCGCCGCAGACGACGAGAGCGGCAGCGUCGGCGUGAGGAGUGGCCUGGUGGCCUCCGUCGUGGCCGUGGCCACCUCAGCCUCAGUCGUGCUUUUAUUUUAG
RNAcentral lists this ribosomal RNA (552 nucleotides) under Triticum aestivum (bread wheat). RNAcentral's name for it is "partial small subunit ribosomal RNA". The record is from RNAcentral. Lineage: Eukaryota; Viridiplantae; Streptophyta; Magnoliopsida; Poales; Poaceae.